Rosa chinensis is the source of this 1308-nucleotide long non-coding RNA. RefSeq lists it as uncharacterized. The transcript is spliced from 4 exons. NCBI's taxonomy places the organism in Eukaryota, Viridiplantae, Streptophyta, Magnoliopsida, Rosales, Rosaceae. The record is from RefSeq and is a predicted model, not a curated record.
UCUCAUCCUCUUGGUUCUUUGAAUCCAACCAGAACUUGACGCCUUGUUCUCCUUCUUUUUCGUGUCACACCAGCUCCUCUGCUCUAAGACAGUGAACAGGAUAGGAGAUCGAGGCUGCCGUUUCGGAGAAACUUUGAGCUUCUGAGUCAUAGGUAAUUCACGAAUAUGUUCAGUACAUGUCUUUGAAGGAUUUGUGAGUUCUGAAAUCACCGAUCUGAGCUUUUGUUUCUUAAUUUGCUUCCAAGGAUUUGUGUUUCAUCUACCGAGGCAUUCUUCAUUGAGCUGGGCAAGUUCGAAGCUUGGUGACCAUGUAACUGGAGCUUCCUGGGCAUUCUUUAUCUCUGUUGGGGCCUCAGGUAGAAACUCCAUCAAAAUCCGGUCCAUGGAGAAAGGCAAGUAACUAAUUAAAUUACAACAAAAAAAAUAUUUGUUUGUUUUUUUGUUUGCACGUGGCCUUUUUUGGUAUAGUAUGUUCACUGAUGAAUCAUGUACUUUCCUUCAUUUCAGAUGCUUUCAUCCAUGGAUACAAAUUUUGUUGGUUAUACAUACAAGAAUUAUGAAAUUGUCAAUGAGCAUCAUAUGCCUGGCAUUGCUGAGUUGAAGAAAAAGACUAAUAAGCCAAAGAGACCUUCUGUUAAGGCCUUAUUCGACACACCUGAUCCUCUAGACCCCCCCAACACAUGGAACUUCUCUCAACCAAAUGUCCACUCUGCCUACCGUCUCGGAAGGCUCUGAGCCAUCUAGGCAAUCUGCUAGACCCCCAUAAUAUCCACACAAACCUCCAAGAAGAUAGCAAGCAAAGUUCAGUUUACAAGUUGUUAUCCAGCUGAAGGAAAUUUAAAGAGAAGUUCACAAAACGGUGAAGGGAAAGAUAGGAAAUUGGUAUCUAAUACUGUAAGUCUUAGUUUUAAAUGCGUUCAUUAGUAAUCCUCCAGUGUAUUACUAGUAGUGAUGUUCAUUCACCAUAUAAUCACCUAGAUUAGUCAAAAAGAGGCCGAGCUUCAUAUUUUAGGGUCUGAUCAAUGAUUUAGAUGAUUUAUUCAUAGGUUCGUAGGUGAUAUAGUAAAUUCCAUCAAAAUUCUUGUCAACUUCCAAACUUGUAGUGAGCUUUGUCUUGAUGUUCUGUUCAUAAAGAGAUUUAGUGAUGAAGUGAGUGAAGUGCUACGUACUUUUUUCUCCCUACCGAAGGAGGCAUGUAAAUUCUUUUAAUUAUUUCAUUAUAAUUGUUAUUAUAAGCUGUGUGCAAACAGGAGCAUUUCAUGUAUGGAGGCUACGAUCAUAUAUGGCUUGUAGAGCCACUUCUUUUCA